UCCAGUCGCUGUAACGCGUUUGUGGGGGCGCUCGGGCGCAGGACUCGGGGUGGGACGUCCGAGGCAGAGUCAGCCGCCACCCUUGGCUCUGCAGCUCCAAGUCCGUCUGCACCGAGACGCUGACCGAGAAAGCCCAGGGCCCCUGAGCGCGGGGCACGAGACUCCGAACCCGGCGCGCGUAGCGGGUGGGGGUGGGGUGGGGGUCAGGAAAAGCUUCCUAGAGGAAAAGCGACUUUAUGGCGCCUGCUGCCACCGCUCGCAGAGGACAAAAGACCAGGGGACAAAGCUUGAUCUUUUAAUUUUGAUUUAGAACUGCCAAAGAAGAAGUCCACGUGAAAAUGCUGUGGGCAGUUGAUGCUGCGGGCCGUGCCAGGACCGCGGAAAGUUGAUGAGCCUGAGUUCCCUGCUGAAAGGGAGAUGGAGCUGGCAGUGUGACUUGUCCAGGGCCUUCAGCCCGGGCAUGGCCAUCAGCCCAAAGCCGACAUCCCCUCAGUAUAAGCCAAGUGAAGGAGAACUGUGGGACCUGGGGAGGGAGGCUAGUCUGAAUAAGACAAGAGAGCUGGCAUGGAGAGGGGAAUCGUUUAUCUGUGUUCCAGGCCGUUGUGACAUUUGGGUGAGGUUGAGCAAGGAAGGAGGCUGUCUUCGGGGCAGACAAAGUGCACAGCCUCACCUUGACACACCCUUGGUGAGGAUUCUCCUUAUCCCUCGGCCUGAGCCUGCGGAGCCAUCUGGGGUGGCAGCCGGGCUUCCUCUUCUGCAGGCAUCCUACUCCUUGCCUCCCCAGGAAGCUGUCUCCCGCCUGCUGUUCUGGGCCCUCAUUGCAUUCAUGGCCCUUUCUGCCCAGCCUGGAGACAGCUGGAUGCGAGCUCCUGCCCUGCCCACCACAACCCCUGGCUGCCUCCCUCUGAGGAAAUAA
RNAcentral lists this long non-coding RNA (916 nucleotides) under Ovis aries (sheep). RNAcentral's name for it is "lncRNA (ENSOARG00000025257.1)". Lineage: Eukaryota; Metazoa; Chordata; Mammalia; Artiodactyla; Bovidae. The record is from RNAcentral.